GUCGAGACUAGAGACUCGAGACUAGAGACUCUCUAUAAACACCUAAAAUCCCUAGACCUGGAAAACAAAAAUAUCUUCAUCGCCUCUCGAAAAACCUAGCGCAGCAGUCGCCAUGGACGAAUCCGCCAAGAAAGGUCUGGAAUUGAACGGUAGUGAUGCAGAGAUUCGAAAAAGCAGCAUUAGGAGAAUUUCCGUUGAAGGAUACGACACCUCCCUUCGUCUGGAGGAUGUCGAUGAGGCUUUGAGAGAACAUUUUGCUUCAUGUGGAAAAAUAAUUCAUGUUUCUAUUCCCAGAAACAGUGACUGGACGAUUCUCUGCCAAUACGCCUUCGUUUAUUUUAAUGAUGAAGAUGAAGAAAAGGCGUUGAGGCUUGAUGGAAGUGACAUGGGAGGACGGAUUUUGCAAAUCAAGUCUUACCCGUUUCACGCAACUUACCUUAAUCAUGUCUUGGACCCGAUGAAAGAAGGACUCCUUAAGUACCAACACACGGCCAAGGUUACGGGAUAUGACAAUUCCCUUUCUCUCGAUGCUGUCCAGAAGGAGAUAGAAGAAUAUUUCUCUGCAUGUGGUUCUUUUGUUUACCCCCACAAAACCUCUGCUCGUACUACCAAAAUCAAACUUAUAUUUAUCUCAAUGGUCAAGAGGCUGUAGACAAGGCUCUGGAACGUAGUGGAGGCUUGAAUCUUGUAGUUACUAAGGUUGAGCCAAUUCCAAAAACCCCAGAGAAGUCUGGCUACAUUCCCCCACGUAUCUACGCUCGCUUCAAGGAGCAGAUAGAUGAUCCUAAACUAUAUUUCAUUAUUGAUCCUAAGAGUGAGACUUCGGAGGGAAAUCAGAAGAAGAAGAAAAAGACUAAGACCAGGGAGGGAAAUCAGAAGAAGAGGAGUGAGACUACGGAGGGAAAUCAGAAGAAGAAGGGCAAGACCAAGGAGGGAAAUCAGAAGAAGAAGGAGGGAAAUCAGAAGGGAGUAGAAAUCUCUUUCUGAGGAGAAGACAUAUGCUUUUUGUGAUAUAACUUGUGUGCAAUGCGACCCUUCUUUUCUUGUCUGGAUACUUAAAUGUUUUAUGCUUGUAUUUGUGUUGGAUCUUUAACAACCUAAGACGGAUCAGAUUUAAAACC
Molecule: RNA transcript, 1121 nt
Organism: Brassica oleracea var. oleracea
Lineage: Eukaryota; Viridiplantae; Streptophyta; Magnoliopsida; Brassicales; Brassicaceae
Gene name: nucleolin 1-like
Exons: 7
Source: RefSeq, a predicted model, not a curated record